RNAcentral lists this transfer RNA (76 nucleotides) under bacterium. RNAcentral's name for it is "tRNA-Thr". It matches the Rfam family "tRNA". From Rfam's summary of the family: Transfer RNA (tRNA) molecules are approximately 80 nucleotides in length. Their secondary structure includes four short double-helical elements and three loops (D, anti-codon, and T loops). Further hydrogen bonds mediate the characteristic L-shaped molecular structure. tRNAs have two regions of fundamental functional importance: the anti-codon, which is responsible for specific mRNA codon recognition, and the 3' end, to which the tRNAs corresponding amino acid is attached (by aminoacyl-tRNA synthetases). tRNAs cope with the degeneracy of the genetic code in two manners: having more than one tRNA (with a specific anti-codon) for a particular amino acid; and 'wobble' base-pairing, i.e. permitting non-standard base-pairing at the 3rd anti-codon position. The record is from RNAcentral.
GCCAUUAUAGCUCAGUUGGUAGAGCGCACCCAUGGUAAGGGUGAGGUCACCGGUUCAAUCCCGGUUAAUGGCUCCA